UUGUAACUUUCAGUAGCUCUCUAAGGCCUGGGUGCAGGAGGGAGGGAGGCGGCGGAGGUGGGGAAAUGGGUACCCCUAGUCUUUCCACCCUCCUCAUUCGUGCAGGGCAACGGGAUCCCUUAAUUCUUUCCCCCAACAUGCAGGAUUUUGCGGGGUCCCCGCACCCUCUUCUGUCCUGGCCGCCGCUCCAGAGCAGGAGAGCCUCCCAGAUGGACACUCCAUUUCCCAGCUGCCAUCAGAGCCUUAAGACAUUGGCAAACAUAAAAGGUAUCCAAGGCUGGGCUUAUUAUUACAGGAGAAAAAAUUUGUGAGGCUAGAACCCGAGUGUCCUGCUCAAUUUUAUGUGAUGAAAUUUAUGUAUGGCUUACUGCAGACCAUGGACCCUGUUAAAUAUUUCAUGGUGAUGAACUCAUCUGUUUUCCACCACCAUAUGAGGGCUCCAGCCGGGAAUACCACAGACGGUUUGCCAUGGAUCGAGACUUCUCCGGAGAAAGCGCACAGGAGGGCUGCUGUGAGCAAUGAAGGAACUUGCUGUUUCCCUGAUUCCCUCAUCAAGAGGAGCCCAAUGAAGUCACUGCACGUUUGAACGGGUGCUAUCCAAGCGCAGCUGCUGGCCAGUUCAGAGGGCUAGGGCGGCCAGUGACUGAACGGCUGCACGGAAAAUCUGAGGUGGCGCAUGAUGGAAAUAAAACUCCUGUAGGAGCUGUGUGAUUCACUCAUCAGUGCUCCCAGAUGUGGGCCCAGCGUGUGCACGUGAACAGUGAAUAGGCUUGUUCAUCCAUUUACUUGUUAGCCCUUUAUUUAUUCAAUAAGUUCUGAUUAUGUACCUAAGAGGCACCACGCUGGGUGUCCUGGAUGGACAAGACCAGAUUCCCACCCUGCAGGGGCCACGGUCUAGAGAGGGGAGGCAGGAGCAAGGUGACAGUGAUUUGUACCAAGUGCUGAGGUGGGAGAGGCAUCUUGUAUCUCCAUUUGAUGUCACUACCUCCAAAGCCGUGCUCCUCAUUGCCCCUCCUCGUGCUCAGUGCAGCCCCCUUUCCUCCAGCUUCUUUCUGCCUGGAUCCCAUCUUCCUUAUGAGCUGGGUCACUGUUUGGCUGCCGGCAGCGACAAAUGCGGCAAUAAAGCUGCAGAAAUAAGGCUCUCAGUUCUAAGGGAAUCCCGGGUGGAGUGGGCCGGGUGAUUUGGUUUGCUGCCUCUGUUCUCUGGGCGUCCCUGGCCCUGGAGGCUGCCCUACGCAGACUGCAUCACCUGGGCUCCUGAAUUCUCCUUCGUGGUCGGACUUGGCCGGCAGGGGUCCUGGCAGGGAAGGGAGAGAAUAGCCAAGGUAUUCGGUUCCUUGUCUCUUGCCCACCUCCUCCCUUGUCUGCCUAAAGUCCUAGCAGGGGUUGUGUUUCCCCAGUGGCUCCAGCUUGGCUGGGUGGCCGCUCUCCCCAACCCCAGUUUUACUGGCAUCGUUUCUACCCUUACUGAUUCCCUGAAUACUAUCUAUGCCUUGAAAAUUGUCAUGUCAUUAAA
Vicugna pacos (alpaca) is the source of this 1516-nucleotide long non-coding RNA. RefSeq lists it as uncharacterized. The record is from RefSeq and is a predicted model, not a curated record. NCBI's taxonomy places the organism in Eukaryota, Metazoa, Chordata, Mammalia, Artiodactyla, Camelidae.